This is a long non-coding RNA of Oreochromis aureus, 448 nucleotides long. The record is from Ensembl. NCBI's taxonomy places the organism in Eukaryota, Metazoa, Chordata, Actinopteri, Cichliformes, Cichlidae.
AGUUAGCUCAGUCCUCAAUCCAUCAUAUAAUAUAGCGGGUAAAGACAGCUGUCAGGGAGACACGUCCGAUUUUUGGAAAGGGUGCUGUCCCAGACACUUUUUGGCAGGACAGAAGUGGGACUACAAACGCGAAACGGUCCGGCUGGAAAGUUUGGCCAAAGCUGCUCAGCUGAAGUUGCGUGGCAGUCAUUUGCCGUCUGACAGCUUCCAGCUGCAGAGAAACUUCAGAGUUGGACAUUGACCAGCUAUUUGACCUGCCCAGCCAGCAGCACAGUCUGUCUCCUUUCCUAAUUCGCACCCCCUCCUCGGAAAGCUCAUGCCAUUCAAAGUAAUGGGCCUGAUGAUGAGAUUUGGCACUUGGACAGAAAGUAGUGAAUCCAUCCAUCCAUCCAUCCAUCCACCCAGGCCUGCACCAGAGAGCGUGAAGCACUAUAAUGUGCAGGGGGAG